RNAcentral lists this transfer RNA (85 nucleotides) under Felis catus (domestic cat). It matches the Rfam family "tRNA". Rfam says of the family: Transfer RNA (tRNA) molecules are approximately 80 nucleotides in length. Their secondary structure includes four short double-helical elements and three loops (D, anti-codon, and T loops). Lineage: Eukaryota; Metazoa; Chordata; Mammalia; Carnivora; Felidae. The record is from Rfam by way of RNAcentral.
GCCUGAGUGGCUCAGUUGGUUGAGCGUCUGACUUCAGCUCAGGUCGUGAUCUUGUAGUUCGUGGGUCCGAGCCCUGCGUCGGGCU